UACGAAGGGGGCUAGCGUUGCUCGGAAUUACUGGGCGUAAAGCGCACGUAGGCGGAUUGUUAAGUCGGGGGUGAAAUCCUGGAGCUCAACUCCAGAACUGCCUUCGAUACUGGCGAUCUCGAGUCCGGAAGAGGUAAGUGGAACUCCUAGUGUAGAGGUGGAAUUCGUAGAUAUUAGGAAGAACACCAGUGGCGAAGGCGGCUUACUGGUCCGGUACUGACGCUGAGGUGCGAAAGCGUGGGGAGCAAACAGG
RNAcentral lists this ribosomal RNA (253 nucleotides) under uncultured bacterium. RNAcentral describes it as "partial 16S ribosomal RNA". It matches the Rfam family "Bacterial small subunit ribosomal RNA", at positions 524 to 776 of the family's 1533-position model. The record is from RNAcentral.